GAUGAACGCUGGCGGCGUGCCUAAUACAUGCAAGUCGAGCGAACGGACGAGAAGCUUGCUUCUCUGAUGUUAGCGGCGGACGGGUGAGUAACACGUGGAUAACCUACCUAUAAGACUGGGAUAACUUCGGGAAACCGGAGCUAAUACCGGAUAAUAUUUUGAACCGCAUGGUUCAAAAGUGAAAGACGGUCUUGCUGUCACUUAUAGAUGGAUCCGGGCUGCAUUAGCUAGUUGGUAAGGUAACGGCUUAUCAAGGCAACGAUGCAUAGCCGACCGGAGAGGGUUGUCGGCCACCCUAGAACUGAGACACGGUCCAGACUCCUACGGGAGGCAGCAGUAGGGAAUCUUCCGCAAUGGGCGAAAGCCUGACGGAGCAACGCCGCGUGAGUGAUGAAGGUCUUCGGAUCGUAAAACUCUGUUAUUAGGGAAGAACAUAUGUGUAAGUAACUGUGCACAUCUUGACGGUACCUAAUCAGAAAGCCACGGCUAACUACGUG
Molecule: ribosomal RNA, 497 nt
Filed under: uncultured bacterium
Lineage: Bacteria
Description: partial 16S ribosomal RNA
Rfam family: Bacterial small subunit ribosomal RNA
Source: RNAcentral